This is a long non-coding RNA of Ctenopharyngodon idella (grass carp), 1510 nucleotides long. RefSeq lists it as uncharacterized. Lineage: Eukaryota; Metazoa; Chordata; Actinopteri; Cypriniformes; Xenocyprididae. The record is from RefSeq and is a predicted model, not a curated record. The transcript has 3 exons.
UUAAAGAGCAAAUGGUGACCUCAUGACCCCACCCCCCCUCUGUACCCCCUCUUUAAGUGAGGCUGUGUUUAGUAUGCACAGGAAGCUGCAGACUCCGACACGGAGGAUAUGAUACGGAGGAGAGGACUUGUUCUGACCUUCAUCAGGGAGCCAGAGUAGAUUAUUGGUCAAAGAACCACAUCCACAUGUACACACAGAGGACAGGAAGAGGACAAACCAGAGUAUUAGCGUCAUUCAGGGGACCACAAUACUAAUGCAUUUGAGGGCUUCUACACUAGAUUACAAAUUCCCUCUGCCUGUCAACAAAAGCACCUGCUCACCGCUGGACGUUAAUUUGUUUUGACAUGCUUUAUAAUUUCAUUCCAACACAGAAUUAACUUCCAAUACCAAAAGCUAUUAGCCGGGGAAAUGGGGACGGCGGACUCCUGUGUGCUUGGUCCCAGCAGUAGCCGCAAGCACACUCACAACCAUGGCAACAGACGGACCAGACCGUGUGAGAGGAUGGUCUGAUGUCAGUGAAGGAAUGACAGGUGAAAGAGAGGUUCUGCCCUUUGAUUAAGAUUGCAUCAAGGGUGCAGAUGUGAAAUGGCUAUUGAUUGGUUCCCUCUCUAUCUUCUUCUGCCAUGAUGAACAGAGAACACAAUCACAGUGGGCGAAGUGGUCUUAGAGUGGCACUGGCACUUUAUUCGCAAGUGUCCGUCAUCUGUGUCGUGUUAUCUUCCGUGAUAGAGCGUCCGGCCUCUCUUACCUCCCAUUACUCACAGCCUUAUGACAUCAUAAUGGUUGAAGAUGGAGACCGUUAGUGAUAAUUUAUGAGGCUAUUAUCAACACUCUGUGGGGACCUUAACAAAUAUCUAACACAUAUACAGCAUGUAACAAUGAAAAAAAAAUAACACAUCAGAAGUGGGGGAUUUUAAAAAGCUGGCUUGUUAAAUACAUGUUAUAUGUUUCAGAAAAAUCAAUAAAUAAUGUAACAUUACAUAAUGUGACAAAUUGCUUUUAUAGGAAGAGGCAUUGAACAAUCUCAAACUGAACCAAAAAUAGAUCAUUGAAUUGACAAGUACAAUUUGUCCCUGAAAUUGUUAUAUUGUCAUCAUUGUCAAGAUUGUCACCACUGAACUUUUAUCUAUACUUUUUUUUUUUUAAAUAAUUUUUGUAGCAUUUUAAAUAUUUUUUGUCUUAUUUAUUUAUUUAUUUUUUUAAACUUGAUAACAGUUCUAAAAUGUAAUAUAAAAAUAGUUUCACACAGCGCCAAGUCUCCAUCUCAGAUGGUCCCGCCCAGCCUCCCAGUCCUUCCUCCUCCAAGUAAGCCGUCCAGUUCUUCAGAGUCAGAAGACUCCUCAGCAUAUUGAUGUUACAAUGUCUCGAGCCUCCUGUGGUGCAAGGUCUGGCUCUGCCUUGGGCCUUCAAGCCCAAAGCUCCACCUUGGCCGUCAACCAGUCGGCUUUAUCUUGUCUCCUCGCUUUUGCUCCACUUGGGACCAUCAUCCUUUCGGCUCCACCCUGGUAGU